GUAGGACCACACACCUCAAAUCCCUCCCUAUUUCCCGUACCCUGUCUCUCUCUCUCCUCCCUCACAAUCUCUCAUUCUCUGUCUCUCUCCCUCUCCUUCGAACUCACACAGACGAGCUCCAAAACCACCCUAAAUCUAUACCAACGACGGAGUUAAGACCACCAUCGAACUCCUGGAGACUCCACGAUCACGUAGACACCAAUUUCAGGUAAGUUUUACUUCGGAAAACCUAGAUUCUAAACUCCCUGUGAAAGUGCACUGUUCAUGAUCUUCGAAUUGACUUUGUUUUAGGACAAUCCAAGCUCACAGUGAGCUUAGUAAGGUUCCAAGGAAGCUCGGAGUGCUUCGUUGGAAGUUUUUGGACGUAAGAACUCGGAGAUCGACAAGUUCAAAGUUUGGCCGGAGCUUUCGAGGCAUUUUCCGGCGAAUCCCCGGCGAGUUAGGAGUCGAGGUAGGUAUCAAUCUCUUCGUCUCGUCAAGUACUACAACUUUCCUUUUUGUUUCACUCAAUUUCGUUGAGUAUUGAAGAAGUUAUACUCAUUUGAAAAAUACCCAGUUUCCGGCGACCUCCGAGGCUUUCGAGGCAGUUUCCGGCCAAACCACGGCGAACUAGGUGUUGUGCAAGGUACCAUUUUCUUUGUCUCUUCAAGGGCUACAACUUUCGUUUUUGAAUCACUUGAUUUCGUUGAGAAAUGACAAAGUUAUGACAAUUUGAAAAACUGCCCGGAAAACGGCCGCCGGAAAAACCAGUCCGGCGACCCAAGGAAGAAGAAGGUGCUACAGUUAAAAAAAAAAAAUUAAAUAAAAUUAUUUUAAAAAUAUGUCGACGUCCGUGACGUCGAGUAGAUCACCGUGGUAUAUUCAUAUACCCAAUUUGAGCACCGUAUGAGAAAGUUAUUAAGGAUUGUUGGUUAGGUGUUCGAAUAACGUUUUAUAGUUUUGGUGAAAAUGUGAAUUGACGAUCCGACCGUUGGAUCGUUACCAAACUUUGAUACGUUGUAAUACGUAAUAUUUUUGAGGAUUAUUGGAACUUACGGAUUGGGAAUCCGAGUUACGGAUCUUCCGGAAUUGGAAUUGUAAGUUCCAUAAAAUAAAAUGUUAACCGUCACUUAGUUUUGGAAAUUGACGGAGAUCCGACCGUUGGAUGGUAAUGAAAUUUUAGGAAGUUGUCCUAGAGGUAUAUUGUGGACCUCUGGAAGUUAUGGAUUUAAAAUCUGAGUGGCAGAUCUUCCGGAUCGAACUACGUAGUGACGUAUUUUAUAUAAGUUAUAUAUUCUAUCGACUAUGAAUUCUGAGGUUGGAAUUAAUUAUUGUUUUAGGCGCCGAUCGUCAUGACGCCUUGGCGUAUUGUGCUAGGGAGUUGUAGGGCGAACUCCAGGUGAGUGGGGCAGUUUUGUUUUCCGUAUACAUAUAUACUUGCCGUUUCCCAGAAAUUGAAAAUGCAUGAAAUUAUGCUUUUAAAUGAAAAUGUAUAAAAGUAUAUGAGAUAUAUUAGUUGAGAUGCCAUGCAUAAAAGUAUAUGAAAAGUAUAUAGAAAUGUGAAUCGAAUUGCCAUGCAUGAAAUGAUAUAUGAAAAGUAUGAAUUGAGAUAUGAUGCAUAUGAAUGUGAAAUGGUGCGGCGGACGCACAGAUGAGUAUCAGGUGAGUAUUUAAUUACUGUUAUGAUGAUGUUGAUAUAUAUUGAGCUCAAAUCCUGCACCAUGGUUUAGUGCUUAUAGUAUUCACCGCAUCGCACGCUCGCCUUGGAUCCAAGUAGAUGCUAGUCGUACAGUCCACGCGGAGUGGGUACGACAGGCCAGUCGCGAGAGUGUUAGUGAGAUUCCGACUGGUGGGUGACCUUAGAUUAUGUGCACAGAUGAUUGAUGAGAAAGCACUAGAGCGUAACUUGUGUGCAGAAGGCCGGACGGGUCACAGAGGUGACUCCGGUAGAGUGAUAGUGAUAGAUUUUGAGCUCUAGGUUCAACCGUACAGGGCUAUUAGAGGGCCUCCGGUUGAUUACUUUCUUGCACCUGAUAUGAUUAUUGUUGAUGCAUUCAUCCAUAUUUAACUGUUGAAUUAGACAUGGCAUGGCAUGUUUGAUAAAGAAAAAUGUUGAAAUAGUAAAAAUGAAGUUUUGAGAAUAUAUAUGUAUAUUUUAUAUUUUACAUUUCUGGGAAAGUAUACAGGUUUUACGGAGAGGGGUUACAACGUUUUGAGAAAUGUUUGGAUUUGGAAAAGAAUUGUUUUACUGACCCACUCAAUUUUGGUUUUGCGCCCCUCCAGGUUCAAGAAUCACAAAGGUGUGGUGACUACGAGGAAUUCGACGGUGUUCUGACAGAUUGGACAAAAAUUAGGACUCACCUUCGGGUGUAUCAACUUAUAAAUUGUAUCUUAAAGCUUCCGUACUGUGCAAAUGGUUACGUCACUCUCACGUGACGGCCAGCAUGCCCUCCUUCGGGAUGGGGUGUGUCA
Molecule: long non-coding RNA, 2451 nt
Filed under: Malus domestica (apple)
Lineage: Eukaryota; Viridiplantae; Streptophyta; Magnoliopsida; Rosales; Rosaceae
Description: long non-coding RNA (MDOM_LNC010246)
Source: RNAcentral